AGAACGAACGCUGGCGGCAUGCCUAACACAUGCAAGUCGAACGAGACCUUCGGGUCUAGUGGCGCACGGGUGCGUAACGCGUGGGAACCUGCCCCUUGGUUCGGAAUAACACAGAGAAAUUUGUGCUAAUACCGGAUGAUGACUUCGGUCCAAAGAUUUAUCGCCGAGGGAUGGGCCCGCGUAGGAUUAGCUAGUUGGUGGGGUAAUGGCCUACCAAGGCGACGAUCCUUAGCUGGUCUGAGAGGAUGAUCAGCCACACUGGGACUGAGACACGGCCCAGACUCCUACGGGAGGCAGCAGUGGGGAAUAUUGGACAAUGGGCGAAAGCCUGAUCCAGCAAUGCCGCGUGAGUGAUGAAGGCCUUAGGGUUGUAAAGCUCUUUACCGGGAUGAUAAUGACAGUACCGGGAGAAUAAGCUCCGGCUAACUCCGCGCCAGCAGCCGC
This 444-nucleotide ribosomal RNA is filed under the name uncultured bacterium. RNAcentral describes it as "SSU rRNA". It matches the Rfam family "Bacterial small subunit ribosomal RNA", at positions 26 to 518 of the family's 1533-position model. The record is from RNAcentral.